CAGGGAUUGCCUCAGUAACGGCGAGUGAAGCGGCAACAGCUCAAAUUUGAAAUCUGACCCCCCCGGGGCCCGAGUUGUAAUUUGUAGAGGGUGUUUCGGGCGCGGCGCCGGUCUAAGUUCCUUGGAACAGGACGUCAUAGAGGGUGAGAAUCCCGUAUGUGACCGGUGAUCAAGCCCAUGUGAAGCCCCUUCGACGAGUCGAGUUGUUUGGGAAUGCAGCUCAAAAUGGGUGGUAAAUUCCAUCUAAAGCUAAAUAUUGGCCGGAGACCGAUAGCGGACAAGUAGAGUGAUCGAAAGAUGAAAAGCACUUUGGAAAGAGAGUUAAACAGUACGUGAAAUUGUUGAAAGGGAAGCGCUUGCAAUCAGACCGGUCGGGGGGUGAUCAGCCGCUGCUCGUCAGCUGGUGCACUCGCCCUCGAUCCGGCCAGCAUCGGUUUGGGCGGUGGGAUAAAAGCCCCGGGAAUGUAGCUUCUCUCGGGGAGUCUUAUAGCCCGGGGUGCAAUGCUGCCCGCCUGGACCGAGGACCGCGCUUCGGAUAGGAUGCUGGCGUAAUGGUUGCAAGCGACCCGUCUUGAAACACGGACCAAGGAGUCUAACAUCUAUGCGAGUGUUUGGGUGUCAAACCCAGGCGCGGAAUGAAAGUGAACGGAGGUGGGAGCCUGUCAAACGGUGCACCAUCGACCGAUCCAGAUGUCUUCGGAUGGAUUUGAGUAUGAGCAUAGCUGUUGGGACCCGAAAGAUGGUGAACUAUGCCCGGAUAGGGUGAAGCCAGAGGAAACUCUGGUGGAGGCUCGCAGCGGUUCUGACGUGCAAAUCGAUCGUCAAAUCUAGGCAUAGGGGCGAAAGACCAAUCGAACCAUCUAG
This 864-nucleotide ribosomal RNA is filed under the name Lobaria orientalis. Its description in RNAcentral is "LSU rRNA". It matches the Rfam family "Eukaryotic large subunit ribosomal RNA", at positions 69 to 947 of the family's 3401-position model. Lineage: Eukaryota; Fungi; Ascomycota; Lecanoromycetes; Peltigerales; Lobariaceae. The record is from RNAcentral.